Long non-coding RNA from Bubalus bubalis (water buffalo), 6056 nucleotides. RefSeq lists it as uncharacterized. The transcript has 5 exons. NCBI's taxonomy places the organism in Eukaryota, Metazoa, Chordata, Mammalia, Artiodactyla, Bovidae. The record is from RefSeq and is a predicted model, not a curated record.
CUUUGUAGAAGCUCCUCUGGCUCCAGGGCUCAGAGGUAGGGCGUCCAAGAAGCUGAUCUCCAGGGUCAGACCUGCAGGGUGACCCUUUCUGCUGUUUUUCAGUCCAUUUCAUUUCCCUUCAUUGUUGCUACCUUGGCAAACGGGUGGCAUCUCAAUGAUUUUUCGGCGUAAUUGAAUUGCUAUGGAUCUAUGGAAACUUGGCACAAAGCCGCCAGAGUAGCUGAUUGCCAGGGGCGAAGUCAGAUGAGCUCUUAAACGGCACAGUAGCAGAGUGAUGAGGACCGAAACUGUACGUUACAGCUUGACUUGAAGAAAGGGGCAACCUUCUGGUGGUGGAGGGAGCAAGGGCGGGUCUUCCCUGGUCCAGCACAGCUGCUUCUGUUGAAGGGGGGUGGACGUGUGGGCACGUGUGACUUACUGCCCAUGCUUCCUUUGUUAAUUUUUAUUGGAGUAUAGUUGAUUUACAGUGUUGUUGUAUUAGUUUCAGAUGUACCACAAAAUCUUCCUUGAAAGUUUAAACCUGGAGUCUCUUUGCCUUUCAUAACCACAAUGGCCCCCAGCACAUUUGCUGUGUGCCUGUGCGGAUCAUCAUUCAAGAUGUGCUUUUGGCAAGGCAGGAAGGCAGUCAGGGCCAAGUGGUGGCUUUGACCUUUUCAGAGCAAAACUGGGAAGGAGAAGACAGCCAAGGGCUGCGUUGGCAUUGUGCUGACUUGCCCAGUGGUCCAUGAGCAUAUGAGUAUGUACAUCCCCACCAGUGGGAACGGUAACCUGUCCCCUGGUGCUAGAGCCCAGGUGGUGAUGGGGGGGAUGCAGAGGGUGGGGCUUAGGAAGGAGAUGGGGAUGUUUCUUUUGGGUUAAGAUGAGCCCUUCCUCAGUAUCUCCCCCAACCCCUGUGCUAAUGGGUAAACCUAGAAAACCAAUGGUUGGGAACGUGUAGCCUUGGGAAUUGGUGUUGAAAUGCGGCAGCAGCCUAUUGGGGAUUAUAGGAAGGAGGUGCUAUCACAUCGUAGGGAUUUUAAAAAGAUGGCAAUUUGGAUAAUUUACUUAGGUGAUCUUCAAGAUAUUGUCUAGCCUUGAGAAAAUGAAAGAAUUUUAAUUACAUCUUCUUUUGACUCCAUGCCUCCCUAAAUCCAUUACCUGGGGAAGCACAGUUCAGAAAGAAAGUUCCCCAAAAACUCACAAAAUGAGGGAAAAGAUAUGCAACCCAGGGAUCUCCCAUCAAUGAAUAAUUCAUAUUUAAGCAGUUUAACCUAUUAUUAUGGGGAGAAUCAAAUCAUGUGAACAUUUAAUCAACAUAUCUUUUUAGGGGUACUCUGGGUUCAUUUUGCAUGUUGGCUCAGGUACGACAUUAUGAUUCCAUUGUUUUUAUACAUAUUUGUAAGUAUUUUUUCCUUUAUUUUUUAAAUAUAGAACUUAAAAGGACUUCAGACUCAGACAUGGCUGAAGAAUAACCUGUGGAAUCAGAUACACCUGGAUUUGAAUUUGGGGACGGCCACCCCGACGAGGAUACACUGGUGUUGAGACGGAUGGCAAGAAGGAGCCCGCCAGAAUGGACUGUAGGUGGUGACAGAGUGACAGCCUGGAAACUGGGAGACCAACUGGGAGCUGCCGCAGGGAUGGAGCUCAGAGACCACUCAGGAAAUCACAGAGAAGCACUUCAUAGUGAGCAGACAGACUGCCAAGGCAGUAAAGCUCUAGAGUGAAACCUACACGGUCUCCCUGAAGCUCUGAAGACCACUGAGAGAUGAGCAGUGAUGGAAUUUUCAAACGUAACUUCACCCCAUGGUUUUUCGGCAUUUAUUUUAGAAAUGCAAAGCAUCACCAGGUAAUGGCUGUGCUAGGAGUGAGCUCACAGAGGGCUGCUUCCGGGAUGUGCUCACAUGAGAGCAAGGCUGGUGCUGGGGUAGAGGAGGGCACGAGUGUGGCCCACAGUCUCUUGUUCAGGAGACCGGCGUUCUAUGACCAUCCUGACCCUCCAAGUAGCAUUUCUGCAGCGCACCUCAAAGUAUCUGAAUACAACCAAGGUGGGUUUCCUCCUGCCCUGGGUCACCCUCCCAGGACAUGGGGAGUGACUAAGAUUUUGUCGCUCAGAGUUAAGGGAGAGGGGAAGGGACUGUGCUCUGGCCGGUAAUGUUAAUACAGUCAGAUAAACGUAGCCAAGGGGGUUGCAAAGAGUUGGACAUGACUUAGCGACUGAACUACAAUGACAACGUAAGGUGACACGUUACCUCGUAGUUGUCCAUGAGGGUUUUGGAAGGAGCGGGACUCAGCCGGAAGGCGUUGUUCAGUAUCCCCAGACCUAAUUUCUGUGCCAGAGUAGCCCAGUUUUUGUCUGGAUCAGGAAUUUCUAGCAACUUGUAGAGCUGCAGCUUUGCAUCUUCAGUCAGCUGUUUCAUGUCUCCUAAAGGAGAUAAAGAAGAAACAUGACCAUCCUAACGGAUCAGAGACUCUCCACAGGGACCGGUCACUGCCACACAGCUCCCCCUCCCACCCCGGGGGAGCAGUCGCGCUCUUGCACCGGAGAGUCAGCAGCCACCCAGGUGAGUAAGAACAGGCCACGCUGUGGUAGGUCACAGCUGGACCUUCUCCGUGGCAGGACCCCCCGCUUCUGAGAGAAGCCCCUGCCUUUCACAGCACAGUCUGGGUAACGCUGGCUUUCCCUCAGCCCCUUUCAGGGUCAGGACGGAGGUGGCACUGGCUCAGGGCACCUGGUUCUCCCACAGCUCACCUUGUGCCAGCAGAUCAUCAGGCGUAAACUCUGGCUCAUAGGGUUUCCCAUUUAAUAUGUCAAAUACCUGUUGGGAAGAAAAACACGGGGAUGUUACAGGGACAACAGGGAAAUCAGCUGCUUUGUGGUAAGGAACUCAGCCUGUCUUCCUCAGGAGGCACUCGUAACCCCAUAGAUGGAGUGGGAAGAGGAGUCAGUACCCUGGCCUGCAGACAUGUUUGCCCUCUGGGGCUCUGGGCCCAGGAGGCUGUGCCCCACAAGCGCUGUCUGAGCCACAUAGGAAGACCCCACCCAGCCGCACAGAGAGCCAGGCCACAGCCCUUUUGAGGGACAAAGGUGGUCCAGGCCACCCAAGCAGCCACGUGCUGGUCAGAGUCGAUGGUAAAUGACGUUUCCCUGAGAGUUAGGGCAAGAACUGAACCCAUGUCGUGCUGUGAAGCUGUGCUGCCUGGCUGCCCCUCUUCCCUGGUAAAAAGGCUCAUGAGAAUGAGUUUUUUAAGCUUGCUCAGAUUGAGGUGUACAAAUGCUCACAAGGCUUGAGGACAGCCUCUUGGCACCAUUUACCUUUUAACUGAGAGGCCAAAAAAGUCUUAGGAUAAAAGAAAAGAGAACAGAUAACUAAUAGGAACCUACUGUAUAGCACAGGGAAAUCUACUCCAUACUUUGUAAUGACCCACAUGGGAAAACAAUCUAUAAGAGUGGACAUGUGUGUAACACAUGCAGUUUGCUGAAACUAACACAACACUGUAGAUCCACUAUGCCCCCAGUAAAAGUUAACCUGUAAAGGAAAAAGAAACUUCCAUAGCUAUGGAGGCUUUUCUGCAUUCCCUGCAGUCACUUGGCUGCUGACUGACCGGGGUGAGGACUGCGCGGGGUCACUGAGUGGCUUAUCUUUGUGUUCUGUGGUGAGGCUUCUGGGAAGACCAGGCGCUCAACGUAGAGUGCCAUGUGGGCUCUCUGCAGGGUUACUCAGCUCAUGCCACAUGGGCCCUGGGGAGGCGGUUUUUGCCAGGGAGCAGCGCCUGCCCCUCAGGAUUUCAGUUGGUUGGGCUGGAGAUGUGCGCUGCCCACCUCCUCCUGUGGCUCCCUCCCUGGGCUCAAGGACCUGGUAACCGCUUUCCCCUUCAGAUCUUGCGUCCGCAGAGUUCUGAGGAAGGCUUUAAGUCUGUUCUGUUUACACUGAUGAAAACCCUCAGAAGAAUCCCCAUUUCGUCUCACGUUCAGCAGUUACUUACUGAAGUUCAGGCAAACCAUGGCAUGUAUCCUGGCUUCAGAAACUCAGAUGGGAAGGAUUCUGGUGUGAGUUCAGAAUGGGCAACACGCUUUGUGAAUUCUGAGUUUCUCUCACCUAUCAACUCUGAUCUGAUUAGGCAUAUGCUUUUAUGUUCAGAGAACUCUGCUGACCUAGAUCUUUAGCGGAUAGGCUUUUCAAGAUAAAUACAGCUCGUGACAAGCAGCCUGUCUUUUAAAAAUACCAGGUGCGGGCUUCGGGGAGCCAAGACUGAGGAAGACCACUUGCCGCCUAAGCAGCAGCCAGCACGCUGGCCGAGCGGGGCUCACCUGCCAGCUGCUGGCCAUGUCCAGAGGAGUGGUUCCUGGUACCACCCCUUCAUCCUCUCCAUCCUCAUCCCAGGAGUCAUCCAGGUCGUACAGAGGCUCGAAGUUCUCCACCAGGGGAUCUGCUCCUGCGGAGCCAAGUCACACAGCGUUAGAUAAAACCCACAUCUUCUCGGCUCCUAACUGCCUUCAGGGGUCAGAUUCUAUAAAUAUAUAAAACACACUUCCACUGAAAUAUCCAGAAACCGGCUUUUAAAUUCUAAUCUAUCUUGACUGUAAAGGUGACCAAUGAUACCUUUGUAUAGCCAAGGAUACUUUCAAAAACACAGACUUGGACUGACGCUCACAUUUGACUCCACAGGAUAGUUGUGAGAUGCACCUUUAACCUGAGGACUGAGGGCGGUGGUUUACAGGGGCUACCUGGUGGGCUCAGGAGAUGAGGUGCCAUCCCUGGGUCGGAAAGGUCCCCUGGAGAAGGAAAUGGCAGCCCACUCCAGUGUUCUUGCCUGGGAAAUCCCACAGACAGAGGAGCCUGGUGGGCUACAGUCCAUGGGGUCACGAGAGUUGAACAUGACUGAGCGACUCAACAAGGGUGCACCCUUAGUCUUAAGGCCCCAUGUGUUCAGCUUGAUGCCUGGCACCUCGUGUUUCUCAGCGUCUUCACCUGCUUGCUUAAAAGAGCAAAGCUGCUUUCUGUCUAGUGCCAACCUGUUCUGUUUUAUUCCUGGGUUAUGGCACUGAUCCUUAAAUGCAAAACACCAAGAAAACCUUCUGGUAGGAUGUGUAGUUAUUGAAAGGUUAUAGCUUCUAGUCUGAAGGCAUUUCAUAAUCAUAACCAGUGACUCCCCAAACUAAUCAUAAACACUGCAAUCACCAUCUCUCGUUCAUGGGAAUGUUCAACUUGACAAAGGAGAAAAGAGAAGGCUGCUGCUUAUUUGGGAUAUGACGUCAGAAAAAUGUGGUGCCAAAGAAAAGGUUCUUAUAUUUUUCUGGUCUGUUUUUUUUUUUUUUUUUUAAAGAAGGUAUUUAAUCUGCUAUUUUCUUGAAUUUGUGAGGCAUUUAUUUUCUAAAAAUAAUAACCUUAUAAAUAAAUCAAAUAUGCCAGGACAGGCUUGAGAUACCAAUUACAUUAAACAUUUUUGAGGUUCUAAAUGUAUAAGGCAGUGGAGAUUCAAGGAUGAGCAGGAAUAAUUUUCCUAUAUUUCACAGGAUGAAAGGGUUGAAUUGGAACAACACUCUACAUCCUUGAGCAAAGCAGGGGAGAGAAACAGAGAAGAGUCUGGAAGUUCAAGAUGACAAGAUGUGACUCAAGCUCUGCCCCUUACUGGGGCCAGGGAACUGGGAUACAAACGUCUUACCAGUCUGUUUCCUUGGCUAUAAAAUGGGAAUAGUAAUGGGAUUUGUCUCAAGGGUUACUGCAGAUCAAGUAAGAUUAAAUGAGACAGUGUGACUUCCUAGCACAACAGAAGCUAGCAAGUUUUAGGGUUUGGUACAGGACAGUACUCAACACAUGGCCCAUGUGUUUGUUCCUAUCGUUUUGGCUUCUCAGACCUUUCUUACAAAAGGAAGUCUUCAAAUGCUUUAUUAUACCAAUAAACUCUUCCUUCUGAGGACCUGUGAUGGGACCUUAAGGCUGAUAUUGCUCCGAAUUCUACAAGGAAUUCAGUUCAACCUUAGGAUCCCCUGUCAUGGGACUCAACUUAAUCCAAAUCCAAAACAGGUACACUGGAAUUGUACAUCAAAGAAUUGAUGCCUUUGAUCUGUGAUGCUG